AACGAACGCUGGCGGCAUGCCUAACACAUGCAAGUCGAACGAAGGCUUCGGCCUUAGUGGCGCACGGGUGCGUAACGCGUGGGAAUCUGCCCUUAGGUUCGGAAUAACAGCUGGAAACGGCUGCUAAUACCGGAUGAUGACGAAAGUCCAAAGAUUUAUCGCCUGAGGAUGAGCCCGCGUUGGAUUAGGUAGUUGGUGGGGUAAAGGCCUACCAAGCCGACGAUCCAUAGCUGGUCUGAGAGGAUGAUCAGCCACACUGGGACUGAGACACGGCCCAGACUCCUACGGGAGGCAGCAGUGGGGAAUAUUGGACAAUGGGCGAAAGCCUGAUCCAGCAAUGCCGCGUGAGUGAUGAAGGCCCUAGGGUUGUAAAGCUCUUUUACCCGGGAAGAUAAUGACUGUACCGGGAGAAUAAGUCCCGGCUAACUCCGUGCCAGCAGCCGCGGUAAUACGGAGGGGGCUAGCGUUGUUCGGAAUUACUGGGCGUAAAGCGCACGUAGGCGGCUUUGUAAGUCAGAGGUGAAAGCCUGGAGCUCAACUCCAGAACUGCCUUUGAGACUGCAUCGCUUGAAUCCAGGAGAGGUCAGUGGAAUUCCGAGUGUAGAGGUGAAAUUCGUAGAUAU
Molecule: ribosomal RNA, 623 nt
Filed under: uncultured Alphaproteobacteria bacterium
Lineage: Bacteria; Pseudomonadati; Pseudomonadota; Alphaproteobacteria
Description: bacterial SSU rRNA
Rfam family: Bacterial small subunit ribosomal RNA
Source: RNAcentral